GAUGAACGCUAGCUACAGGCUUAACACAUGCAAGUCGAGGGGAAACGACAUCGAAAGCUUGCUUUUGAUAGGCGUCGACCGGCGCACGGGUGAGUAACGCGUAUCCAACCUGCCCAUCACUUGGGGAUAACCUUGCGAAAGUAAGACUAAUACCCAAUGAUAUCUCUAGAAGACAUCUGAAAGAGAUUAAAGAUUUAUCGGUGAUGGAUGGGGAUGCGUCUGAUUAGCUUGUUGGCGGGGUAACGGCCCACCAAGGCAACGAUCAGUAGGGGUUCUGAGAGGAAGGUCCCCCACAUUGGAACUGAGACACGGUCCAAACUCCUACGGGAGGCAGCAGUGAGGAAUAUUGGUCAAUGGGCGAGAGCCUGAACCAGCCAAGUAGCGUGCAGGAAGACGGCCCUAUGGGUUGUAAACUGCUUUUAUAAGGGAAUAAAGUGAGAGUCGUGACUCUUUUUGUAUGUACCUUAUGAAUAAGGACCGGCUAAUUCCGUG
RNAcentral lists this ribosomal RNA (492 nucleotides) under uncultured bacterium. RNAcentral describes it as "partial 16S ribosomal RNA". It matches the Rfam family "Bacterial small subunit ribosomal RNA", at positions 28 to 507 of the family's 1533-position model. The record is from RNAcentral.